Molecule: ribosomal RNA, 1102 nt
Filed under: uncultured Lemonniera
Lineage: Eukaryota; Fungi; Ascomycota
Description: eukaryotic LSU rRNA
Rfam family: Eukaryotic large subunit ribosomal RNA (bases 474-1102)
Source: RNAcentral
AAGGAUCAUUACAGAGUUCAUGCCCUCACGGGUAGAUCUCCCACCCUUGAAUAUUAUACCUUAGUUGCUUUGGCAGGCCGGGGCAACCCCCGGGGCCUCGGCCUUGGUGUGCCUGCCAGAGGAAACAAACUCUGUUUUUAGUGAUGUCUGAGUACUAUAUAAUAGUUAAAACUUUCAACAACGGAUCUCUUGGUUCUGGCAUCGAUGAAGAACGCAGCGAAAUGCGAUAAGUAAUGUGAAUUGCAGAAUUCAGUGAAUCAUCGAAUCUUUGAACGCACAUUGCGCCCCGUGGUAUCCGCGGGGCAUGCCUGUUCGAGCGUCAUUUCAACCCAUCAAGCUUCGGCUUGGUCUUGGGGCUGCGAUUCCGCAGCCUCUAAACCCAGUGGCGGUGCCUCCGAGCUCUGAGCGUAGUAAUUCUUCUCGCUAUAGGGUCUCGGUGGUGUCUUGCCAGUAACCCCCAAUUUUUUACAGGUUGACCUCGGAUCAGGUAGGGAUACCCGCUGAACUUAAGCAUAUCAAUAAGCGGAGGAAAAGAAACCAACAGGGAUUACCUCAGUAACGGCGAGUGAAGCGGUAACAGCUCAAAUUUGAAAUCUGCCGCAAGGCCGAGUUGUAAUUUGUAGAAGAUGCUUUGGGUAUGGCCCCGGUCUAAGUUCGUUGGAACACGACGUCAUAGAGGGUGAGAAUCCCGUAUGUGACUGGGUGCUUUUGCCUAUGUAAAGCUCUUUCGACGAGUCGAGUUGUUUGGGAAUGCAGCUCAAAAUGGGUGGUAUAUUUCAUCUAAAGCUAAAUAUUGGCCAGAGACCGAUAGCGCACAAGUAGAGUGAUCGAAAGAUGAAAAGCACUUUGGAAAGAGAGUUAAACAGUACGUGAAAUUGUUGAAAGGGAAGCGCUUGCAACCAGACUUGCACGCUGUUGAUCAUCCAGGCUUCUGUCUGGUGCACUCGGCAGCGUUCAGGCCAGCAUCGGUUCUGGUGGUGGGAUAAAGGCCUUGGGAAUGUAGCUUCUUUCGGGGAGUGUUAUAGCCCUCGGUGCAAUGCCGCCUAUCGGGACCGAGGACCGCGCUUCGGCUAGGAUGCUGGCGUAAUGGUUGUAAGCGACC